GACGAACGCUGGCGGCAUGCCUAACACAUGCAAGUCGAACGAGACCUUCGGGUCUAGUUGCGCACGGGUGCGUAACGCCUGGUAACCUGCCUUUAGGUUCGGAAUAACUCAGAGAAAUUUGAGCUAAUACCGGAGGAUGUCUUCGGACCAAAGAUUUCUCGCCUUUAGAUGGGCCCGCGUUGGAUUAGCUAGUUGGUGGGGUACAGGCCUACCAAGGCGACGAUCCAUAGCUGGUCUGAGAGGAUGAUCAGCCACACUGGGACUGAGACACGGCCCAGACUCGGACGGGAGGCAGCAGUGGGGAAUAUUGGACACUGGGCGCAAGUGUGACACAGCCAUGCCGGGUGAGUGAUGAAGGGCUUAGUGUUGUAAAUCUGUUUUAGACGAGAUGAUAAUGACAGUAUCGGGAGAAGAAGCACCGGCUAACUCCGUG
RNAcentral lists this ribosomal RNA (433 nucleotides) under uncultured bacterium. Its description in RNAcentral is "partial 16S ribosomal RNA". It matches the Rfam family "Bacterial small subunit ribosomal RNA", at positions 28 to 507 of the family's 1533-position model. The record is from RNAcentral.